CCUACGGGAGGCAGCAGUGGGGAAUAUUGCACAAUGGGCGCAAGCCUGAUCCAGCCAUGCCGCGUCUAUGAAGAAGNCCUUCGGCUUGUAAAGUCCUUUCAGCCUGGGAGGAAGGCCUUA
This 120-nucleotide ribosomal RNA is filed under the name uncultured bacterium. RNAcentral describes it as "partial 16S ribosomal RNA". It matches the Rfam family "Bacterial small subunit ribosomal RNA", at positions 338 to 456 of the family's 1533-position model. The record is from RNAcentral.